Molecule: ribosomal RNA, 241 nt
Filed under: uncultured Staphylococcus sp.
Lineage: Bacteria; Bacillati; Bacillota; Bacilli; Caryophanales; Staphylococcaceae
Description: partial 16S ribosomal RNA
Rfam family: Bacterial small subunit ribosomal RNA
Source: RNAcentral
CGGACGGGUGAGUAACACGUGGAUAACCUACUUAUAAGACUGGGAUAACUUCGGGAAACCGGAGCUAAUACCGGAUAAUAUUUUGAACCGCAUGGUUCAAAAGUGAAAGACGGUCUUGCUGUCACUUAUAGAUGGGUCCGCGCUGCAUUAGCUAGUUGGUAAGGUAACGGCUUACCAAGGCAACGAUGCAUAGCCGACCUGAGAGGGUGAUCGGCCACACUGGAACUGAGACACGGUCCAG